CGAGUAUGUCAGAUAAUCGCGAGCAUUGCUCGAGGAAAGUCCGUGCACCACACAGCAGGAUGCCAGAUAACGUCUGGUGGAGGUGACUCUAAGGCUAGUGCAACAGAGAUAUACCGCUGAAACCCUAACUUAUGUGAUUAAAAAUGAAAACAAGUGGGCUUCCGCCGACGAAUCUAGCUAAUCGAAGCUUCUGAGGUCGCUUCUCUUAGAGAUUCUUGGCAUGAGACCUACUUUAUACUUCAACUAAUUCAUGGUGCUUCACACCAUGAAUUAGUUGAGCGCAUAAGUUAGGGCUUCAGUAAGGGUGGAAAGGUGAGGUAAGAGCUCACCAGCAUAUAGGUAACUAUGUGGCUAUGUAAACCCCAUUCGGUGCAAAAUCAAAAUAGGGUAAAACCUGGCAGCUGGUCAGGUCCGGUAGGUAGAUUGCUUGAGUGUAUAGGCGACUAUACAACUAGACAGAUGAUUAUCAAAUACAGAACACGGCUUAUAGAUAUGCUCGUACA
Molecule: non-coding RNA, 503 nt
Organism: Helcococcus kunzii ATCC 51366
Lineage: Bacteria; Bacillati; Bacillota; Tissierellia; Tissierellales; Peptoniphilaceae
Rfam family: Bacterial RNase P class A
About the family: Ribonuclease P (RNase P) is a ubiquitous endoribonuclease, found in archaea, bacteria and eukarya as well as chloroplasts and mitochondria. Its best characterised activity is the generation of mature 5'-ends of tRNAs by cleaving the 5'-leader elements of precursor-tRNAs.
Source: Rfam